CCUACGGGCGGCUGCAGUGGGGAAUAUUGCACAAUGGGGGAAACCCUGAUGCAGCGACGCCGCGUGAGUGAAGAAGUAUCUCGGUAUGUAAAGCUCUAUCAGCAGGGAAGAAAAUGACGGUACCUGACUAAGAAGCCCCGGCUAACUACGUGCCAGCAGCCGCGGUAAUACGUAGGGGGCAAGCGUUAUCCGGAUUUACUGGGUGUAAAGGGAGCGGAGACGGGGCUGCAAGUCCGGAGUGAAAGCCCAUGGCUUAACCAUGGUACUGCGCUGGAAACUGUGGAGCUUGAGUGCGGGAGGGGCAGGCGGAAUUCCUAGUGUAGCGGUGAAAUGCGUAGAUAGUAGGAGGAACACCAGUGGAGAAGGCGGCUUACUGGACUGUAACUGACGUUGAGGCUCGAAAGCGUGGGGAGCAAACAGGAUUAGAUACCCGUGUAGUC
RNAcentral lists this ribosomal RNA (440 nucleotides) under uncultured bacterium. RNAcentral's name for it is "partial 16S ribosomal RNA". It matches the Rfam family "Bacterial small subunit ribosomal RNA", at positions 338 to 795 of the family's 1533-position model. The record is from RNAcentral.